CCCGUGUCAUGCCAAGAACCGUUUUUAAAUAAUGAUGCAAAGACCCUGAUGUAAUAUCACCAAAUCAUGGUACGUCACAUCCGGUUGUAUACGAAAGUAGGUCUAAAAAAUAUUCCCUUGAAUUUGACAGUUGUAGAAAAUUAUAACCCUGCAUUUCAAUGCACUUCAAUUUUUCUGAGUCAUAAACAUGUAUGUUGUGUGUCUGAAAGCAUCAUUCCUUUUUGAUUUGAUGGUCUUAUAAAAUAUUUUGGAAAAUUAAGGUUGCAUAGUUACUAAAGCAGGUAACCAGUAAAUAACAGUGUAAAAAUUGGGUUGAUUACUUCCGGUGAUGGUUACUUUCUUAUUUGCAAUGAAAUGAAGUGUGAAAUUUUCACUGUAGCACUGGAAAGGAUAAAAGUUUAUACAUGCAAAGUAUUUAUUUUGUUGAAAUAAAGGUAAAUACUGUACAAUUGUUUUAAAAGUGCCUAUUUAACAAAGAUUAAUAGGGGAAAAUCAAUGGUGGUAUUACACCUAUUUAGGGAAACUACAUGUGCACUCGAGACCUUAUUGUACUUUCAUUUUUAAAAAUUAUUACUAAACAUACAUACAUUGUAAACAUGGACUAUUUGGAAUGGAUUGAGACACAGAAAGCACAUUUGAGGUAAAAUUGGGUGUUUGCUAAGUCAAAUGGGUGGACAGACAAAGCUGUAUUCAGUUAACUGUGUCAAAUUUUAAAUCACCCUUACAGUUUUGUUUAUACAACAUGUGAAUUUUCAUUUCAGUGUUAACCAUAUUCUGAAGAGCAGUCAAUGUACAAUUGUUUUAAAAGUGCCAAUUUAGCAAUGACUAAUAGGGGAAAAUCAAUGGUGGUAUCACACCUAUAAGUGAAUCAAUAUUAAAACCAAAAUAUGCAAUCUUUAAUGACCUGACAACGGUAUCGUAACUAUUUCCCUUCUUAAUAAGUCUGUUUAAAGUUUUGUAACCUUUUGGGGUGAAUACUGACAUUUUUGUGCUUUGUCAAGAAUAUUACCAUAAAAGAUUGGAUGUGAAAUACCUGAACGUAGAAGAUGUCUGCAUGUUGAGUUAUAUUUACGAAUUAUUUCCUUAUACCGAGGAUAAAAUUUAGUAAAUGUUUUGACUAGUUUGUGAUAUCGAAAACCCUGGUGCAAUAAUUUUUCAGUAAUACAUACAUUUCUCUCGCUAAAAUCUAAUACGUU
RNAcentral lists this long non-coding RNA (1196 nucleotides) under Mytilus galloprovincialis (Mediterranean mussel). The record is from RNAcentral. Lineage: Eukaryota; Metazoa; Mollusca; Bivalvia; Mytilida; Mytilidae.